RNAcentral lists this long non-coding RNA (271 nucleotides) under Salvia miltiorrhiza (redroot sage). Its description in RNAcentral is "long non-coding RNA (SMIL_LNC013606)". Lineage: Eukaryota; Viridiplantae; Streptophyta; Magnoliopsida; Lamiales; Lamiaceae. The record is from RNAcentral.
ACACAGCAACCCUCAGCUCGCCUUCACACCGCUCUCAAGAAAGAAAGGUAUGCGAUUUUAACAAAUUCUUACCUAAAGUGCGUACAAGUAUUUAAGGUGGUUUUAAAAGCAAGAGUUCUUGUUAAAGGAAAAUAUUUCAGUUUGUUGUAUUAUUUUACAACUAGAUUCCCAGAAAGAUGUUAUUUUGAGCUUUAGCUUGAAUAACCAGAAAGUUUGUCAUGUUUUUAUGACCAGAAAGAUUGUCAUAUAUAUUUAUAUGACCAGAAAGUUU